This 65-nucleotide transfer RNA is filed under the name Haemaphysalis bispinosa. Its description in RNAcentral is "tRNA-Ile". Lineage: Eukaryota; Metazoa; Arthropoda; Arachnida; Ixodida; Ixodidae. The record is from RNAcentral.
AGUAAAAUGCCUGAAAUUAAAGGGUUAUCUUGAUAGGAUAAAUUAUGUAUUUUAUACUUUUACUA